This 244-nucleotide ribosomal RNA is filed under the name Vibrio sp. s4p9. Its description in RNAcentral is "partial 16S ribosomal RNA". It matches the Rfam family "Bacterial small subunit ribosomal RNA", at positions 828 to 1071 of the family's 1533-position model. The record is from RNAcentral. Lineage: Bacteria; Pseudomonadati; Pseudomonadota; Gammaproteobacteria; Vibrionales; Vibrionaceae.
GGCCUUGAGCCGUGGCUUUCGGAGCUAACGCGUUAAGUAGACCGCCUGGGGAGUACGGUCGCAAGAUUAAAACUCAAAUGAAUUGACGGGGGCCCGCACAAGCGGUGGAGCAUGUGGUUUAAUUCGAUGCAACGCGAAGAACCUUACCUACUCUUGACAUCCAGAGAACUUUCCAGAGAUGGAUUGGUGCCUUCGGGAACUCUGAGACAGGUGCUGCAUGGCUGUCGUCAGCUCGUGUCGUGAG